UCAAGCUAAUAUUGGUCUACAUAUCAGAUCUCUCUGUUGCACCACUUUUUUUUUUGACAUUUUUUUCCGUAGACAUACAAUACCUUCACAUAGCCUGAUACUCAUUGUUUUUACUCACUGAUGGCCGCCAAAACGCGUCGCCGCUUCCUGCUUCUGUACCUUGAAGGAGAAUUUCUGCCCGCUGAUCAAUUCCUGAAAGAUAUGAGGACAGUGUUUUAUUCUCCAUUGAUUUUCCUGGACUUCCUCUGGCUAUUAAUCCUCACAGAAAUCAACUGAAGUCGUCACCUGUACACGUCUUUUGUUAUUUUAUUUAUAUUUUUCAUAUGUAAUCAGGACCGCAGCACCACGCUCCACCAGAACCGUCCGCGUCCUCAUGUGACUUCAGCGCUUACAAGACGCUACGGCCUAAAAAAGCCGCGGCACUCAUCUAAUUACACGUCUGUUGGCUUCGCGUUUUAUCCUCCUCACAUCCUUAAUUUCCAUUUCUGCCAUGUCAAAUAUUCACUCGGGUCGGCCGUAAUCACAGUCCUGCCGGCGCGGACGCUGACCCGCACAAAUCCCACCAUGUUUAAAAGAUUUACUCUGAGGCAUUUACCUCCGCGAGGGGAGGGGGGAACAGGGAUGCACUCGGAUAUCGUCGUCGGCUCCAUGUUGUUAAUGUUUGGGUUGGCCAAGCAGAAAUAUUUUCAGCAUUUUAUUAUAGCGGGACGUUUCGGUCUCAUCACACCGCCCUAUCAUUUAACCCUAAUUCCGUGACCUUCCUUCAGGAAUACAUCACAUAAAACAUACCUGCCUCUUUUAAUGAACUAUAUGAAACGACUAUGUGCUCCUUCCUCUGUAUAUGUGCUUGUGACAUGAAGCAUUCAGGACCAACAAGUGCAAACACCCUGUUUUCCGUGUAAUAGCCCCUGCCUAUACUGACCGGAACGCUGCCUACCGUGGCUUUUCCCACACCCAGACUUCAAAGUGGACCUCAAACUACGCAGCCCUCUGAACAACAUCCAGGAUACUGACGGCAGCCCAUCUCAAAGCUGCAACCAAACCACAAGAGCAUUACCACCCAGGAUGUGCCUUUUUUCCCUUCAGGUCUAAUCCACAGUGGCAGCUGCACUUUAGCUUCGUCUGUGACUGAAGCCUCAGGAUUUGACCAUGCACCGCCGGGUUCCCAUGUGAGGAAGAAAACAUACAACCCCAUGCUGAUGUAGCCCCUAAUUACAACUGAUGGGGUUUUUUUCUCUCUCUUUCUCUCUCUCUUUCUUUUCUUUCCAUGGAUUCUGACCAAAACUGUUGCUCUGCUGACUUUGCUGAUGGAUAGCGAGCGCGGGGUAACGAUCAUUUUCAUCGCCGCAAGCGAAUUCCGAUUCGCUGAUGGGAUCGGCACGACAAGAGGAACUUUGAUGAACCAGGAGCCACAAAACUCCAGGAGCAUCGUGAAUAAUUCGACCGAAACCAGAAUGCGGACGGUACUCACUGAUUCUUCCCUGCUGACCUCUGACACCCAGAGUGACGUGCGACGUUUCUGACGGCACUCAGAUCCUGAUUGAUGUCAUCAGUGAGUCAAAGGUUCCUGUAACAUGCAGAAAGAAGGAAGCUGGACUUCAGAGAUAGCCUGAUGAACCCUUGUUGUUGGAAAAAGGUUUUAGCAGCCACUUUCCUAGCAGUAGCUGAAUAAUAAUUUUAUGUGGAAAUUUGGGAAAUCUCACCUGUUAGCUUUCGUCAAUUGAUUCUGAAGAGAAAACUUAGCAUUUUUCUUUCCUUUAUCCUUGUAAGAUUGUGUGAGGAUACCCCAAACCGUUUGAAUUCAAGUCAGUGAUAGCAAACAUUGAGAAAAUGCAUGUAGACGUCUGACUUUGAAGACACUAAAAAAUAAAUCUCUCACAUAUUC
Non-coding RNA from Poecilia reticulata (guppy), 1885 nucleotides. The record is from RefSeq and is a predicted model, not a curated record. NCBI's taxonomy places the organism in Eukaryota, Metazoa, Chordata, Actinopteri, Cyprinodontiformes, Poeciliidae.